Molecule: long non-coding RNA, 229 nt
Organism: Ornithodoros turicata
Lineage: Eukaryota; Metazoa; Arthropoda; Arachnida; Ixodida; Argasidae
Exons: 3
Source: RefSeq, a predicted model, not a curated record
AAAACUUCUGCAGCAUGACUGUUUCCCAGCACUGACCUGGCCCUUGUAUAUCAAAGUCCCACACAGUCCGCCAAGUAUACAAGGAUGCAGUGGAAGGCGAGGGAAAUGGAUGAGCGUCUACUUCAGCCAGUCAGGCAGCCCAGCUCUCUUGGUCCCCGACAAUAAGGCAACCACAUGCACAAACUUCACAGUGUGCUGUGCGUAUCCCAAGCAGAAAUCAACAAGAUGG